Molecule: ribosomal RNA, 253 nt
Filed under: uncultured bacterium
Lineage: Bacteria
Description: partial 16S ribosomal RNA
Rfam family: Bacterial small subunit ribosomal RNA
Source: RNAcentral
UACGUAGGGUGCGAGCGUUAAUCGGAAUUACUGGGCGUAAAGCGUGCGCAGGCGGUUUUGUAAGACAGGUGUGAAAUCCCCGGGCUUAACCUGGGAACUGCAUUUGUGACUGCAAGACUAGAGUGUGGCAGAGGGGGGUAGAAUUCCACGUGUAGCAGUGAAAUGCGUAGAUAUGUGGAGGAAUACCGAUGGCGAAGGCAGCCCCCUGGGCCUGUACUGACGCUCAUGCACGAAAGCGUGGGGAGCAAACAGG